Molecule: long non-coding RNA, 374 nt
Organism: Bradysia coprophila
Lineage: Eukaryota; Metazoa; Arthropoda; Insecta; Diptera; Sciaridae
Source: RefSeq, a predicted model, not a curated record
AAAGAAUAAAAAUUAAUUAAAAGAAGAAAGAACUGCCAGGCAUAACAAAAAUGUCAGUCGUAUAGCUACAACUGCAACUGUUCCACUAAUAUGGAAUCAAGUUGCAUAAGAAGUGUUACGAAAAUUGCUGUGUCCUAACAGACAAAAACCUUCUGCAUUGCUCAAUACAAAUCAAGUCAGGCGACAUUACAGCUAGACAAUGUCUUCGGCAAUCCAAUAUUUCCAAUACGAAAUCAGUAAUUAACCUACCUAGCACGGCUGCCUCAACAGCAUAAACAAUGUGAUCGUUAAUACAUUCGUCAAUGGUGAACCAUUCGGGAUGCUUGGCCAGAGUGGUCAUCCAAUCUGAAGGCAACAGUUGUCGGUGCACCGAC